Molecule: ribosomal RNA, 460 nt
Filed under: uncultured bacterium
Lineage: Bacteria
Description: partial 16S ribosomal RNA
Rfam family: Bacterial small subunit ribosomal RNA
Source: RNAcentral
CCUACGGGAGGCAGCAGUGAGGAAUAUUGGUCAAUGGGCGCGCGCCUGAACCAGCCAAGUAGCGUGAAGGAUGACUGCCCUACGGGUUGUAAACUUCUUUUAUCAAGGAAUAAUGUGAGGCACGUGUGCCUUUUUGUAUGUUCUUUAUGAAUAAGGAUCGGCUAACGCCGUUCCAGCCACCGCGGUAAUACGGAGGAUCCGAGCGUUAUCCGGAUUUAUUGGGUUUAAAGGGAGCGUAGAUGGGUUGUUAAGUCAGUUGUGAAAGUUUGCGGCUCAACCGUAAAAUUGCAAUUGAUACUGGCAGCCUUGAGUACAGUUGAGGUAGGCGGAAUUCGUGGUGUAGCGGUGAAAUGCUUAGAUAUCACGAAGAACUCCGAUUGCGAAGGCAGCUUACUAAACUGCCACUGACAUUGAUGCUCGAAAGUGUGGGUAUCAAACAGGAUUAGAUACCCUUGUAGUC